RNAcentral lists this transfer-messenger RNA (347 nucleotides) under Oscillospiraceae. RNAcentral's name for it is "Enterenecus sp910587255 Standard tmRNA". It matches the Rfam family "transfer-messenger RNA". From Rfam's summary of the family: Bacterial tmRNA, also known as 10Sa RNA or SsrA, is named for its dual tRNA and mRNA-like properties. Its role is to liberate the mRNA from a stalled ribosome. The record is from RNAcentral. Lineage: Bacteria; Bacillati; Bacillota; Clostridia; Eubacteriales. RNAcentral also lists the same sequence under 1 other name.
GGGGGCGUACUGGUUUCGACGGGGGUACAGAAGCAGGAAUAGCGAGCGGAUGCGCCUGACAUCCUUAAAACGGGCAACUUAUAAAUUAAAGAACAACGAUAACGUAGUUCUCGCCGCGGCUUAACGCGGCCGUCCCACCCGGAAGGACCACGAGCCGGGUGUGGGCGUCAUCUCAGUGGUGCCCGUGCGUGCGGAAAGAGUUGACCGCGCCACGCAUCAUGACUCUACCAAGCUCAGCAGCGUGACGACCCGCGUCUGAGUAAGGGAAUGUAAAGGAUCGUCUGCGCUCGGAGAGGUUCCUGUGGAAGCGCUUUCGGACAGGGGUUCGACUCCCCUCGCCUCCACCA